RNAcentral lists this ribosomal RNA (492 nucleotides) under uncultured bacterium. RNAcentral describes it as "partial 16S ribosomal RNA". It matches the Rfam family "Bacterial small subunit ribosomal RNA", at positions 29 to 507 of the family's 1533-position model. The record is from RNAcentral.
AGUGAACGCUGGCGGUAGGCCUAACACAUGCAAGUCGAACGGCAGCACAGUAAGAGCUUGCUCUUACGGGUGGCGAGUGGCGGACGGGUGAGGAAUACAUCGGAAUCUACUUUUUCGUGGGGGAUAACGUAGGGAAACUUACGCUAAUACCGCAUACGACCUACGGGUGAAAGCAGGGGAUCUUCGGACCUUGCGCGAUUGAAUGAGCCGAUGUCGGAUUAGCUAGUUGGCGGGGUAAAGGCCCACCAAGGCGACGAUCCGUAGCUGGUCUGAGAGGAUGAUCAGCCACACUGGAACUGAGACAAGGUCCAGACUCCUACGGGAGGCAGCAGUGGGGAAUAUUGGACAAUGGGCGCAAGCCUGAUCCAGCCAUACCGCGUGGGUGAAGAAGGCAUUCGGGUUGUAAAGCCCUUUUGUUGGGAAAGAAAAGCAGCAGGUUAAUACCCCGCUGUUCUGACGGUACCCAAAGAAUAAGCACCGGCUAACUUCGUG